AGCAGCCGCGGUAAUUCCAGCUCCAAUAGCGUAUAUUUAAGUUGUUGCAGUUAAAAGCUGUAGUUGAAUUUUCGGAUUGACGUGAUGGUCAUGCCUUUAAGGGGGUAUGAACUGUUACGUUGAUUUCUCACCUUUCUGGAGAAACUUGAUGUCCUUAUUUGGGGUGUCUAUUGGAUCAGGACCUUUACCUUGAAAAAUUAGAGUGUUUUAAAGCAGGCAUUUUUUGCUCGAAUACAUUAGCAUGGAAUAAU
RNAcentral lists this ribosomal RNA (251 nucleotides) under uncultured Glomeromycotina. Its description in RNAcentral is "partial small subunit ribosomal RNA". It matches the Rfam family "Eukaryotic small subunit ribosomal RNA", at positions 569 to 818 of the family's 1831-position model. Lineage: Eukaryota; Fungi; Glomeromycota. The record is from RNAcentral.